RNAcentral lists this unclassified non-coding RNA (232 nucleotides) under Ascomycota sp. Its description in RNAcentral is "partial contains small subunit ribosomal RNA, internal transcribed spacer 1, and 5.8S ribosomal RNA". The stretch from base 1 to 47 matches the Rfam family "Eukaryotic small subunit ribosomal RNA", at positions 1785 to 1831 of the family's 1831-position model. The record is from RNAcentral. Lineage: Eukaryota; Fungi; Ascomycota.
AAAGUCGUAACAAGGUCUCCGUUGGUGAACCAGCGGAGGGAUCAUUAAAGAGUUGCAAAACUCCCUUAAACCAUCGUGAACGUACCUCUGAACAGUUGCUUCGGCAGGCCGGCUCCUCACCGAGGGUGCCGCCAAAGGCCUGCCGGAGGUACCCAAACCAUUGUUUUUACAGGCCUCUCUGAGUAUCGUACUUAAUAAGUCAAAACUUUCAACAACGGAUCUCUUGGCUCUG